RNAcentral lists this long non-coding RNA (316 nucleotides) under Elaeis guineensis (African oil palm). RNAcentral describes it as "long non-coding RNA (EGUI_LNC060378)". The record is from RNAcentral. Lineage: Eukaryota; Viridiplantae; Streptophyta; Magnoliopsida; Arecales; Arecaceae.
AAUCACCUCCUCCCUAUAAAAGGGGUCCAAAAGUUGGAUGCCCGAGCAUAAGAAAAUCAAGAGAGAAAAUUAUUUUCUCUAAGCCGAGUCUCCUCUUUCUCUUCCCUAUUCUUCCCGCAUUCUUCUCUAUCUCAAGAGAGUCUGUGAGAUCUGAGAGGAAGCUACUUCAGCUAUCAAAGAAGAGUCUUCUGUAAGAGAACUAGCACCCCGAUGAAGACACCCACCUCUGAUUGGAAUGAAUCCUCGUGUGGAUACCUGUGGAGACCAGACACGUGCAUGGCUAGAAGAACCAUUUAGAUCUAUGAUCAUCGACUAU